This 270-nucleotide ribosomal RNA is filed under the name uncultured archaeon. RNAcentral's name for it is "partial 16S ribosomal RNA". It matches the Rfam family "Archaeal small subunit ribosomal RNA", at positions 477 to 747 of the family's 1478-position model. The record is from RNAcentral.
CUGCAGCCCGAGUGGUGAUCGAUUUUAUUGAGCCUAAAGCGUCCGUAGCCGGACUAGUAAACCCUUGGGUAAAUUGGGCAGCUUAACUGUCCAAAUUCCGAGGGGACUGCUAGUCUUGGGACCGGGAGAGGUCAGAGGUACUCAAGGGGUAGGGGCUAAAUCCUGUAAUCCUUUGGGGACCACCAGUGGCGAAGGCGUCUGACUAGAACGGAUCCGACGGUAAGGGACGAAACCCUGGGGCGCGAAUCGGAUUAGAUACCCGAGUAGUCC